GUCGUCUUUGGAAAUUAUUACAAAGUUCAGCUGGAAGUCUCCUUCUCCCUGUGGACCUUCCCCAAUUCCACUGGCUGCCCUCCUCAAGGACCCCUGUGAGAUAAAUUCAGAAAUGGCUAUCCUUGGCUUCCCUGGGGAACAAGAGUGCCUGCAGUUCUUUUCCCACUUCUUUUACUUUUCUAUUUCACUGGGCUCUCUAAAUUCAUUUCAGCUCUAGGGAUUUGGAAAGGAUUCCGUGAUGGUUAAUAUUGAGUGUCAACUUGAUUGGAUUGAAGGAUGCAAAGUAUUGUUCCUGGGUGUGUCUGUGAGGGUGUCACCAAAGGAGAUGAACAUUUGAAUCAGUGAGCUGGGAGACACAAACCCAUACUCAAUCUUGGGGGACACCAUCUAAUCAGCUGCCAGUGCAACUAGGAUAAAAUCAGGCAGAGAAAUUUGGAAAGACUAGACUGGCUGAGUCUUCUGGCCUUCAUCUUUCUCCCAUGCUAGAUGCUUCCUGACCUCGAAUAUCAGACUCCAAGUUCUUUAGCUUUUGGACUCUUGGACCUUUGGCCACAGACGGAAGGCUGCACUUUUGAAGUUUUGGGACUUGGACUGGCUUCCUUGCUCCUCAGCUUACAGAUGGCCUAUUGUGGGACUUCACCUUGUGAUUGUGAUUUCAAACCUUCUGGGUUUCUUCCCAGCGCUAAAUCCUGUCGACUGGAUUCACUAGGAUGAAUAGAGAAAGAAGUGUUACAUUUUAAGAUAAUUUCUUUUCUAAACACACAGAAAGCAUCCUCAAGACACAAGGCAGAUGCCACGUUCCAGUAUGUUUUAUGGCACAAAAAGAUCGUGGUCACCAGAUGGCUGUUGCCCUUCCAGGCUUCCAGCUCCUGUGUUCCAGACUGAAGAAGAGGAACAGAAAAAGGGUUCCACCUUGGCAUGGUCAGAAACAGCAGUUGACUAGUGAAGGAGGAAAUGAAUGAACAAAAAGGAAGAUCUCUCUUUUCUACAGCAAGCAGUAGUUUCUCACAGCAUCCAGCAUAGGUUACUCAAGACAAAAAGAGGAGUUUGGAUGAAAUGGCAUAGGGCUGACUACUGGACUAAGAAUUCUGGAUUUUAUUCUGCAAGCUGGUGGAGACACAUCAAAGGGUAUUGAA
RNAcentral lists this long non-coding RNA (1136 nucleotides) under Homo sapiens (human). Its description in RNAcentral is "HSALNT0320536". The record is from RNAcentral. Lineage: Eukaryota; Metazoa; Chordata; Mammalia; Primates; Hominidae.